This 253-nucleotide ribosomal RNA is filed under the name uncultured prokaryote. Its description in RNAcentral is "partial 16S ribosomal RNA". It matches the Rfam family "Bacterial small subunit ribosomal RNA", at positions 525 to 777 of the family's 1533-position model. The record is from RNAcentral.
ACAGAGGGUGCAAGCGUUAAUCGGAUUUACUGGGCGUAAAGCGUGUGUAGGUGGCUCGCUAAGUCUGAUGUGAAAGCCCUGGGCUCAACCUGGGAAUGGCAUUGGAAACUGGCGACCUAGAGUGCGGUAGAGGGUAGUGGAAUUCCCGGUGUAGCAGUGAAAUGCGUAGAGAUCGGGAGGAACAUCUGUGGCGAAGGCGACUGCCUGGACCAGCACUGACACUGAGGCACGAAAGCGUGGGGAGCAAACAGGA